This 73-nucleotide transfer RNA is filed under the name Stegodyphus mimosarum. It matches the Rfam family "tRNA". From Rfam's summary of the family: Transfer RNA (tRNA) molecules are approximately 80 nucleotides in length. Lineage: Eukaryota; Metazoa; Arthropoda; Arachnida; Araneae; Eresidae. The record is from Rfam by way of RNAcentral.
GGCUUCGUGGUGUAAGGGAUAGCACACUCGGCGCGUAUUCGAGAGGUCCGAGGUUCGAAUCCUGGUGAAGCCA